UACGUAGGGCGCAAGCGUUAUCCGGAAUUAUUGGGCGUAAAGAGCUCGUAGGCGGUUUGUCGCGUCUGCUGUGAAAACCCGAGGCUCAACCUCGGGCCUGCAGUGGGUACGGGCAGACUAGAGUGCGGUAGGGGAGAUUGGAAUUCCUGGUGUAGCGGUGGAAUGCGCAGAUAUCAGGAGGAACACCAAUGGCGAAGGCAGAUCUCUGGGCCGUAACUGACGCUGAGGAGCGAAAGCAUGGGGAGCGAACAGG
RNAcentral lists this ribosomal RNA (253 nucleotides) under uncultured bacterium. RNAcentral's name for it is "partial 16S ribosomal RNA". It matches the Rfam family "Bacterial small subunit ribosomal RNA", at positions 524 to 776 of the family's 1533-position model. The record is from RNAcentral.